Molecule: transfer RNA, 72 nt
Filed under: Ptenothrix huangshanensis
Lineage: Eukaryota; Metazoa; Arthropoda; Collembola; Symphypleona; Dicyrtomidae
Description: tRNA-Ser
Rfam family: tRNA
About the family: Transfer RNA (tRNA) molecules are approximately 80 nucleotides in length. Their secondary structure includes four short double-helical elements and three loops (D, anti-codon, and T loops). Further hydrogen bonds mediate the characteristic L-shaped molecular structure. tRNAs have two regions of fundamental functional importance: the anti-codon, which is responsible for specific mRNA codon recognition, and the 3' end, to which the tRNAs corresponding amino acid is attached (by aminoacyl-tRNA synthetases). tRNAs cope with the degeneracy of the genetic code in two manners: having more than one tRNA (with a specific anti-codon) for a particular amino acid; and 'wobble' base-pairing, i.e. permitting non-standard base-pairing at the 3rd anti-codon position.
Source: RNAcentral
UAUUAAUUGGCUGAUAGAAUUAAGCACUUGUCUUGAAAACAAAUUAGAAAGGUUAAAGUCCUUUAUUAAUUU